This 418-nucleotide ribosomal RNA is filed under the name Methylorubrum rhodesianum. RNAcentral describes it as "bacterial SSU rRNA". It matches the Rfam family "Bacterial small subunit ribosomal RNA", at positions 29 to 494 of the family's 1533-position model. The record is from RNAcentral. Lineage: Bacteria; Pseudomonadati; Pseudomonadota; Alphaproteobacteria; Hyphomicrobiales; Methylobacteriaceae.
AGCGAACGCUGGCGGCAGGCUUAACACAUGCAAGUCGAACGGGCUUCUUCGGAAGUCAGUGGCAGACGGGUGAGUAACACGUGGGAACGUGCCCUUCGGUUCGGAAUAACUCAGGGAAACUUGAGCUAAUGCCGGAUACGCCCUUUUGGGGAAAGGUUUACUGCCGAAGGAUCGGCCCGCGUCUGAUUAGCUUGUUGGUGGGGUAACGGCCUACCAAGGCGACGAUCAGUAGCUGGUCUGAGAGGAUGAUCAGCCACACUGGGACUGAGACACGGCCCAGACUCCUACGGGAGGCAGCAGUGGGGAAUAUUGGACAAUGGGCGCAAGCCUGAUCCAGCCAUGCCGCGUGAGUGAUGAAGGCCUUAGGGUUGUAAAGCUCUUUGUCCGGGACGAUAAUGACGUACCGGAAGAUAGCCCC